RNAcentral lists this ribosomal RNA (30 nucleotides) under Thaxterogaster sp. H1486. RNAcentral's name for it is "partial 28S ribosomal RNA". Lineage: Eukaryota; Fungi; Basidiomycota; Agaricomycetes; Agaricales; Cortinariaceae. The record is from RNAcentral.
CAGGUAGGACUACCCACUUAAGCAUAUCUA